RNAcentral lists this ribosomal RNA (766 nucleotides) under Sivaloka damnosus. Its description in RNAcentral is "SSU rRNA". It matches the Rfam family "Eukaryotic small subunit ribosomal RNA", at positions 1032 to 1802 of the family's 1831-position model. The record is from RNAcentral. Lineage: Eukaryota; Metazoa; Arthropoda; Insecta; Hemiptera; Issidae.
AUAAACUAUGCCUGCCAGCGAUCCGCCGAAGUUCCUCCGAUGACUCGGCGGGCAGCUUCCGGGAAACCAGAGCUUUUGGGUUCCGGGGGAAGUAUGGUUGCAAAGCUGAAACUUAAAGGAAUUGACGGAAGGGCACCACCAGGAGUGGAGCCUGCGGCUUAAUUUGACUCAACACGGGAAAACUCACCAGGCCCGGACACCGGAAGGAUUGACAGAUUGAGAGCUCUUUCUUGAUUCGGUGGGUGGUGGUGCAUGGCCGUUCUUAGUUGGUGGAGCGAUUUGUCUGGUUAAUUCCGAUAACGAACGAGACUCUAGCCUACUAACUAGGCGUACCCGGUAUCCACAAUCGUGCUACCGGCGAUCAAAUUUCUUCUUAGAGGGACAGGCGGCUUCUAGCCGCACGAGACUGAGCAAUAACAGGUCUGUGAUGCCCUUAGAUGUCCUGGGCCGCACGCGCGCUACACUGAAGGAAUCAGCGUGUCUUCCCUGUCCGAAAGGACCGGGUAACCCGCUGAACCUCCUUUGUGCUAGGGAUUGGGGCUUGCAAUUGUUCCCCAUGAACGAGGAAUUCCCAGUAAGCGCGAGUCAUAAGCUCGCGUUGAUUACGUCCCUGCCCUUUGUACACACCGCCCGUCGCUACUACCGAUUGAAUGAUUUAGUGAGGUCUUCGGACUGGUGCGCAGAGGCCGCUUCCGCGGUCUUUGAUGUUGCCGGAAAGAUGACCAAACUUGAUCAUUUAGAGGAAGUAAAAGUCGUAACAAGGUUU